This 465-nucleotide ribosomal RNA is filed under the name uncultured bacterium. RNAcentral's name for it is "partial 16S ribosomal RNA". It matches the Rfam family "Bacterial small subunit ribosomal RNA", at positions 28 to 507 of the family's 1533-position model. The record is from RNAcentral.
GACGAACGCUGGCGGCGUGCUUAACACAUGCAAGUCGAACGGAAAGGCCCUGCUUGCAGGGUACUCGAGUGGCGAACGGGUGAGUAACACGUGGGUGAUCUGCCCUGCACUUCGGGAUAAGCCUGGGAAACUGGGUCUAAUACCGGAUAGGAGCCAUUUUUAGUGUGAUGGUUGGAAAGUUUUUUCGGUGUAGGAUGAGCUCGCGGCCUAUCAGCUUGUUGGUGGGGUAAUGGCCUACCAAGGCGGCGACGGGUAGCCGGCCUGAGAGGGUGGACGGCCACAUUGGGACUGAGAUACGGCCCAGACUCCUACGGGAGGCAGCAGUGGGGAAUAUUGCACAAUGGGCGCAAGCCUGAUGCAGCGACGCCGCGUGGGGGAUGACGGCCUUCGGGUUGUAAACUCCUUUCGCUAGGGACGAAGCUUUUUGGGACGGUACCUAGAUAAGAAGCACCGGCUAACUACGUG